Molecule: unclassified non-coding RNA, 391 nt
Filed under: soil metagenome
Description: partial contains 5.8S ribosomal RNA, internal transcribed spacer 2, and large subunit ribosomal RNA
Rfam family: 5.8S ribosomal RNA (bases 1-122)
Source: RNAcentral
GAUGAAGAACGCAGCGAAAUGCGAUACUUGGUGUGAAUUGCAGAAUCCCGUGAACCAUCGAGUCUUUGAACGCAAGUUGCGCCCGAAGCCAUUAGGCCGAGGGCACGCCUGCCUGGGUGUCACACGUCGUUGCCCCCCCAUCUACUCCUUCGGGAUUGCGGGGGGCGGAUGAUGGCCUCCCGUGCGCCUCGUCGCGCGGUUGGCAUAAAUGCCAAGUCCUCGGCGACGCACGCCACGACAAUCGGUGGUUGCGAAACCUCGGUUGCCCGUCGUGUGCGGUCGUCGCGCAUCGAGGGCUCGAAAAAAUUGCCGGGCUCUGGCUCGGCUUUCAACGCGACCCCAGGUCAGGCGGGGUUACCCGCUGAAUUUAAGCAUAUCAAUAAGCGGAGGA